CCGGGUGAGCAACACGUAUCCAACCUGCCGUCUACUCUUGGACAGCCUUCUGAAAGGAAGAUUAAUACAAGAUGGCAUCAUGAGUUCACAUGUUCACAUGAUUAAAGGUAUUCCGGUAGACGAUGGGGAUGCGUUCCAUUAGAUAGUAGGCGGGGUAACGGCCCACCUAGUCUUCGAUGGAUAGGGGUUCUGAGAGGAAGGUCCCCCACAUUGGAACUGAGACACGGUCCAA
This 232-nucleotide ribosomal RNA is filed under the name uncultured bacterium. RNAcentral's name for it is "partial 16S ribosomal RNA". It matches the Rfam family "Bacterial small subunit ribosomal RNA", at positions 103 to 334 of the family's 1533-position model. The record is from RNAcentral.